This 496-nucleotide ribosomal RNA is filed under the name uncultured bacterium. RNAcentral describes it as "partial 16S ribosomal RNA". It matches the Rfam family "Bacterial small subunit ribosomal RNA", at positions 30 to 523 of the family's 1533-position model. The record is from RNAcentral.
AUUGAACGCUGGCGGAAUGCUUUACACAUGCAAGUCGAACGGUAGAGGGGGCAACCCCUCGAGAGUGGCGAACGGGUGAGUAAUAUAUCGGAACGUGCCCAGUCGUGGGGGAUAACGUAGCGAAAGUUACGCUAAUACCGCAUACGAUCUAAGGAUGAAAGCGGGGGAACGCAAGACCUCGCGCGAUUGGGGCGGCCGAUAUCCGGUUAGGUAGUUGGUGGGGUAAAGGCUCACCAAGCCAACGAUCUGUAGCUGGUCUGAGAGGACGACCAGCCACACUGGAACUGAGACACGGUCCAGACUCCUACGGGAGGCAGCAGUGGGGAAUUUUGGACAAUGGACGCAAGUCUGAUCCAGCCAUUCCGCGUGCAGGAUGAAGGCCCUCGGGUUGUAAACUGCUUUUGUACGGAACGAAAAGGUCUCUCUUAAUACGGGGGACUCAUGACGGUACCGUAAGAAUAAGCACCGGCUAACUACGUGCCAGCCGCCGCAGUAA